RNAcentral lists this ribosomal RNA (234 nucleotides) under uncultured bacterium. RNAcentral's name for it is "partial 16S ribosomal RNA". It matches the Rfam family "Bacterial small subunit ribosomal RNA", at positions 15 to 240 of the family's 1533-position model. The record is from RNAcentral.
GAUCAUGGCUCAGGAUGAACGCUAGCUACAGGCUUAACACAUGCAAGUCGAGGGGCAGCGGGAUUGAAGCUUGCUUCAAUUGCCGGCGACCGGCGCACGGGUGAGUAACGCGUAUCCAACCUUCCGUACACUCAGGGAUAGCCUUUCGAAAGAAAGAUUAAUACCUGAUGGUAUCUUAAGCACACAUGUAAUUAGGAUUAAAGAUUCAUCGGCGUACGAUGGGGAUGCGUUCCA